This 498-nucleotide ribosomal RNA is filed under the name uncultured bacterium. RNAcentral's name for it is "partial 16S ribosomal RNA". It matches the Rfam family "Bacterial small subunit ribosomal RNA", at positions 30 to 523 of the family's 1533-position model. The record is from RNAcentral.
AUUGAACGCUGGCGGCAUGCCUUACACAUGCAAGUCGAACGGUAACAGGUCUUCGGAUGCUGACGAGUGGCGAACGGGUGAGUAAUACAUCGGAACGUGCCUAGUAGUGGGGGAUAACUACUCGAAAGAGUGGCUAAUACCGCAUGAGAUCUACGGAGGAAAGCAGGGGAUCGCAAGACCUUGUGCUACUAGAGCGGCCGAUGGCAGAUUAGGUAGUUGGUGGGAUAAAAGCUUACCAAGCCGACGAUCUGUAGCUGGUCUGAGAGGACGAUCAGCCACACUGGGACUGAGACACGGCCCAGACUCCUACGGGAGGCAGCAGUGGGGAAUUUUGGACAAUGGGGGAAAGCCUGAUCCAGCAAUGCCGCGUGCAGGAUGAAGGCCUUCGGGUUGUAGACUGCUUUUGUACGGAACGAAAAGCCCCGGGUUAAUACCCUGGGGUAAUGACGGUACCGUAAGAAUAAGCACCGGCUAACUACGUGCCAGCAGCCGCCGUAA